Molecule: ribosomal RNA, 500 nt
Filed under: uncultured bacterium
Lineage: Bacteria
Description: bacterial SSU rRNA
Rfam family: Bacterial small subunit ribosomal RNA
Source: RNAcentral
AACGAACGCUGGCGGCGCGCCUAAUACAUGCAAGUCGAGCGAGAAGACGUAGCAAUACGUUUGUAAAGCGGCGAACGGGUGAGGAAUACAUGGGUAACCUACCCUCGAGUGGGGAAUAACUAGCCGAAAGGUUAGCUAAUACCGCGUACGCUCCUUGGACUUCGGUUCAGGGAGGAAAGCGAUACCGUGGGUAUCGCGCUCUUGGAUGGGCUCAUGUCCUAUCAGCUUGUUGGUGAGGAACGGCUCACCAAGGCUUCGACGGGUAGCUGGUCUGAGAGGACGAUCAGCCACACUGGCACUGCGACACGGGCCAGACUCCUACGGGAGCAGCAGUAAGGAAUAUUGCGCAAUGGGCGAAAGCCUGACGCAGCGACGCCGCGUGGGGGAUGAAGGUCUUCGGAUUGUAAACCCCUUUCGGGAGGGAAGAUGGAACGAGCAAUCGUUCGGACGGUACCUCCAGAAGCAGCCACGGCUAACUUCGUGCCAGCCGCCGCAGUAAG